RNAcentral lists this ribosomal RNA (492 nucleotides) under uncultured bacterium. RNAcentral's name for it is "partial 16S ribosomal RNA". It matches the Rfam family "Bacterial small subunit ribosomal RNA", at positions 29 to 507 of the family's 1533-position model. The record is from RNAcentral.
AGUGAACGCUGGCGGUAGGCCUAACACAUGCAAGUCGAACGGCAGCACAGUAAGAGCUUGCUCUUACGGGUGGCGAGUGGCGGACGGGUGAGGAAUACAUCGGAAUCUACUUUUUCGUGGGGGAUAACGUAGGGAAACUUACGCUAAUACCGCAUACGACCUACGGGUGAAAGCAGGGGAUCUUCGGACCUUGCGCGAUUGAAUGAGCCGAUGUCGGAUUAGCUAGUUGGCGGGGUAAAGGCCCACCAAGGCGACGAUCCGUAGCUGGUCUGAGAGGAUGAUCAGCCACACUGGAGCUGAGACACGGUCCAGACUCCUACGGGAGGCAGCAGUGGGGAAUAUUAGGCAAUGGGCGCAAGCCUGAUCCAGCCAUACCGCGUGGGUGAAGAAGGCCUUCGGGUUGUAAAGCCCUUUUGUUGGGAAAGAAAAGCAGCAGGUUAAGACCCCGCUGUUCUGACGGUACCCAAAGAAUAAGCACCGGCUAACUUCGUG